UGCCGUCAGGCAGGGACCUUAUGCUGAAACCAAGUAUCGCUCCGGAGCCUUGCGUUUUGGGAAGCGCUUGUGGAACUUGCGUGCACACGUUUGUUAAAGCACUUUCACACGCAUCGUUGCGAAGACAUCUGUUGCAGCAGUCGAAGGAACAAUGAAGCCGAUGAGAGCCCCGAUUAAAGACGGCGUCAUUUAUUCACCUUACCCGGAGUGCUCUAUUCCCUGCUCUUCUAUAUACACCGCCAUUCAGAGAUGCAUUCAAGCUUCGCCGGAUAAAAUUGCCAUUAUUGAUGACGAGGUGCAGUUAACGCGAUCUCAGUUCUUUGCGAGAAUAAAGCGCUGCGCGGCAGGUUUGCAAGCUCAGGGCAUCAAGCCGGGAGACCAUGUCUGCGUCCAUCUCGACACCAGCGUUGAAAACCUGAUUGCAAUGUUCGGAUUCGUGUUUGCUGGGGCAACACUCAUCUUAUCCUACAU
This is a long non-coding RNA of Ixodes scapularis (black-legged tick), 471 nucleotides long. RefSeq lists it as uncharacterized. The transcript is spliced from 3 exons. Lineage: Eukaryota; Metazoa; Arthropoda; Arachnida; Ixodida; Ixodidae. The record is from RefSeq and is a predicted model, not a curated record.